UACAGAGGGUGCAAGCGUUAAUCGGAAUUAUUGGGCGUAAAGCGCAUGUAGGUUGGUAUUUAAGUCGGAUGUGAAAGCCCCGGGCUCAACCUGGGAAAGCCAUUCGAUACUGAGUACCUAGAGUAUGGUAGAGGGAAGUGGAAUUUCCGGUGUAGCGGUGAAAUGCGUAGAUAUCGGAAAGAACACCAGUGGCGAAGGCGGCUUCCUGGAUCAAUACUGACACUAAAGUGCGAAAGCGUGGGGAGCAAACAGG
This 253-nucleotide ribosomal RNA is filed under the name uncultured bacterium. RNAcentral describes it as "partial 16S ribosomal RNA". It matches the Rfam family "Bacterial small subunit ribosomal RNA", at positions 524 to 776 of the family's 1533-position model. The record is from RNAcentral.